RNAcentral lists this small nuclear RNA (56 nucleotides) under Cervus elaphus hippelaphus. Lineage: Eukaryota; Metazoa; Chordata; Mammalia; Artiodactyla; Cervidae. The record is from RNAcentral.
AGAAUGGUUGCCCUGCACAAGGAUGAUGCACAAAUAAGUGAAGUGUUCUAUAUUUU